Molecule: long non-coding RNA, 704 nt
Organism: Oryza sativa Japonica Group (Japanese rice)
Lineage: Eukaryota; Viridiplantae; Streptophyta; Magnoliopsida; Poales; Poaceae
Source: RefSeq, a predicted model, not a curated record
UUUACUUCUAAUAAUCCAGGUUAUAAUAAUUCUAAGCUGAAUAAAACAGGUUCUAUGUUCAAGAGUUCAUAUAGUCCCCAAACUAUAAAAUCGGGUAUUUAGCCCCUCAAACCUUAUAAUCCAGUCAUUUCAACCCCUAAGCUGUUUCACAAGGCAGUUUUGCAUACGUGGCGGGCUGAUUGGACCGUAUUUACCACUUCGUAACAGGAGGGAAAGGGAGAGUUCCUCUCGCUCUAGGGUUCAUAUUCCCCAUCUCGAGUUCUUCCCGCACGUCAGUAGCAGCGUCAAAUUCCGGACCUGGGGCGAGGCGACUCUAGCGCGGGAAAUCAUAGCAGCGGCGCUGGUGCGCAGCCACGGCGAGCGCGACGACCCCGGCGCCCGCGACAGGCUACAGGAUAAGUUCUGUGGCUGUCGGGGCAGGUGCAUGGGCUGCACGGCGACGCUCGACGCGCCGGCCGCAAGCACGGCAAGGAUGGACAGGGCCAAGUGAUAUGAACUGUAGAACAUGGUGAUAGAAAAGAAUUUUUUCAGUGUAAAUCCAUGCAUAUAGAUUAGGGAGGAAUGAAAUGUGUAAAAGAAGCUCAUCUAUUAUCCCUCUACUGUUGAGUGUAAUGUGGAGAUUGCCCAAGUGAUAUUGUAUAAUCUAGUAAGCAUAUUAUUAUGCAAUUCAAACGUUGUAUCCUUUUGGGAUUAUCUUAUUCGCA